RNAcentral lists this long non-coding RNA (426 nucleotides) under Cervus hanglu yarkandensis (Yarkand deer). RNAcentral describes it as "lncRNA (ENSCHYG00000024827.1)". The record is from RNAcentral. Lineage: Eukaryota; Metazoa; Chordata; Mammalia; Artiodactyla; Cervidae.
GUGGGAGACCUGCUCUGAGGAAGGUGACCCCUAACGGACAGUGUUCCCGGCUGCCACGCCUGCCCCUGCUCAUGCAGACAGUUUGGCCACGGUGCUGAGCGCAGGACAACGACCCGGCCCAACGCCCUGGAUCAAUGCCGAGGGAAACUGCUGGUGUAUAGCCUGGUACGGUCUAGGGAAGGGGGUCAGGGGAACCCAGCAGAGACCUGCCACUCAUGUUCUCUUCCUGACUUUUCAGAACCUGUUGGCAAAGCAAGGAUUGUGGCUCUUAUGGGGCCUGAGUCAGAGAAACGUGCCAGAGAAAGUGGCGCUGGCCAAGAAGCUCCUGGUGAAAUUGCGCUUCCUGGCCCAGGAGACUUCAGCUACUUCCAGCUCCGGGCCCACUUGUACCAGACCCAAGGGGUGCUGGCAGCAGAUGACAGCGGG